Apodemus sylvaticus (European woodmouse) is the source of this 128-nucleotide small nucleolar RNA. RefSeq annotates it as small nucleolar RNA SNORA17. Lineage: Eukaryota; Metazoa; Chordata; Mammalia; Rodentia; Muridae. The record is from RefSeq and is a predicted model, not a curated record. The transcript has a single exon.
UUUGACCCUAAAGAUGCUGCAGGUGUGGCUGCUUUGUCCUGUGUGUGUCAGUAGGUGGAAGAGAAGAGAGAAGCUAUGCCUACACUUAGCAUGCUGAUCCAUGGACACCUGAUUAGUAGCCUGACAUU